AACGUGGUGACUGUUAAUAACACAACUUCUCUGGACCCAAGAUUCUACACUCUUCAGAGUAAGGGCGAAGGCACCUCAGCGACCACACAGGGAGUCAUGAAGAGACCCCGGGGAGCUCUGCUGGGGCUCCUGUGGGUGCAGGUUUGCUGGGUGAGAGGGGUGGAGGUGGAGCAGAGACCUCCAGCCCUGAGCGUCCAGGAGGGAGCCAGUUCUACCCUGAGCUGCAACUUUUCGAGCACAGCCAGCAAUGUGCAGUGGUUCCGACAGAAUCCUGGGGGCGGCGGCCUCACGCGGCUGUUUUACAUCGCGUCAGGGAUGCAGCAGGACGGGAGGUUAGCCUGCACACUGAACACGAAGGACCGGCACAGCAGCCUGCACAUCAGGGCCUCCAGGCAGGAAGACGCAGCCACCUACCUGUGUGCGGUGGAGGCACAGUGCUGCCUGCCGCCCUGCAGCCUGUCCCCAAACUGCAGCUGGGCUGGUAGCCCAGGCUCCUCCACCAGGAAGCCUUCCUUGCUCAGCAGCAUUUGCACAGCGUGCUUGGCACCACCUGGGGCUCUGCAGGCUAAAAGUUGGUGGUGGUAA
This is a non-coding RNA of Hyaena hyaena (striped hyena), 585 nucleotides long. The record is from the annotation of a RefSeq genome assembly. Lineage: Eukaryota; Metazoa; Chordata; Mammalia; Carnivora; Hyaenidae.